Triticum aestivum (bread wheat) is the source of this 136-nucleotide non-coding RNA. Lineage: Eukaryota; Viridiplantae; Streptophyta; Magnoliopsida; Poales; Poaceae. The record is from Rfam.
CUCAUACUCCCUCCGUUCCACAAUACUUGCCUUUCCUUUGUCAAAAUAUAGAUGUAUCUAGACAUGUUUUAGUAUAUAGGUACAUCCAUUUUUGGAUAAAUGGAAGUCAAGUAUUUUGGAACGGAGGGAGUACUUU